Unclassified non-coding RNA from Mesocricetus auratus (golden hamster), 287 nucleotides. It matches the Rfam family "Metazoan signal recognition particle RNA". From Rfam's summary of the family: The signal recognition particle (SRP) is a universally conserved ribonucleoprotein. It is involved in the co-translational targeting of proteins to membranes. Lineage: Eukaryota; Metazoa; Chordata; Mammalia; Rodentia; Cricetidae. The record is from Ensembl.
GCCUGAUACGGUGGCGCAUGCCUGUAGUCCCAGAUACUCGGGAGGCUGAGACAGGAGGAUUGCUUGAGUCCAGGAGUUCUGGGCUGUUGUGCGCUAUGCCAAUGGGGUGUCGGCACUAAGUUCGACACCAAUAUGAUGACCUCCAGGGAGCAGGGGGCCACCGGGUUUCCUAAGGAGGGGUGAACCUGUCCAGGUCGGAAACGGAGCAGGUCAAAGCCAGGCAGGGCUACCUGCCUCCCUACUCAAAACUAAACCAAAAACUGAGCUCUCAGAGGAGCCUGGGUUGU